UACGAAGGGGGCUAGCGUUGCUCGGAAUUACUGGGCGUAAAGGGAGCGUAGGCGGAUAGUUUAGUCAGAGGUGAAAGCCCAGGGCUCAACCCUGGAAUUGCCUUUGAUACUGGCUAUCUUGAGUGUGGGAGAGGUUAGCGGAACUCCGAGUGUAGAGGUGAAAUUCGUAGAUAUUCGGAAGAACACCAGUGGCGAAGGCGGCUAACUGGCCCAUUACUGACGCUGAGGCUCGAAAGCGUGGGGAGCAAACAGG
Molecule: ribosomal RNA, 253 nt
Filed under: uncultured bacterium
Lineage: Bacteria
Description: partial 16S ribosomal RNA
Rfam family: Bacterial small subunit ribosomal RNA
Source: RNAcentral